UAUUAAAUUUGCUCUCUAUCUCUCCAACUCUCCCUCUCUCUCUCUCUGACACUUUCUCUCUCUCUCUCUCUCUCUCUCUCUCUCUCUCUCUCUCUCUCUCUCUCUCUCUCUCUCUCUCUCUCACUUCCCAGAGUAAAGAGUGUGAGACAUCACAGCGAGAAUGCAAUUCCAAAUCUGUAACAUGUAAUUUUACGCUAUCAGAAGGAGAGACACGUUCAAUCUCAGUCUUUAAUUAGAUCUCUGGCAACGAAGGGUUUAUUUUGGAUACAGGCAGAGGAAGCUCAGCGAAAGCUUAAGAGACAGAAUGGAGAGGACCCAGCCCUGCCUCCAUUCUGCCCACUGUUUGCCAGCUUGGGAAACAUUCUGCAGUGUGACGUGCUGCUUGGCAUGCUGGGAGCUGUGCUGCAGUGGGCUAUGGAGCGCAGUGGAGGACACUGGUCUGAGUCCAUGCUGCAGAGGGUAAAUGUUUGGAUGUUUUGUUAAAAUGACAUGAUAGUGUAGUAAAUUCAACAAAAUUCCACUUGCUAUGCUGUGUUCAUGAGCAUCACUUUUUAAUGACUGAGUAGUGUUCACAAUUCUGUAUGUGUGUGUUGCUACAGGUGCUGCACUUGAUAGGCAUGGCUCUGCUGGAGGAGCAGCAACAGCUAGAGAACAUUGGGGAUGACGAUGAAGUUACUUUCAACUUCACCCUCAAAAUCUCCCCGUGUAUGAAGCAGUGCUGCACGGAGCAGAUGACGGAAUGUCUGGACUGGAUUAUGGCUGAAUGUAAGAAUUUGUAUUCAAAAUUUCUGCAGAGUAUGGCGAUCUCCUUCAUACAGAAGUCAGAUGGUUGAGUAGGAGUAAAGUACUUCACCGUUUUAUUUCCUUGGUGAGUGAAAUUACGGCUUUAAUGGAACUGGGGGGGGGCGACACUAACCUGUUGUCUGAUGGCUGCUUGAUCUUGCAUUCUUGGCUGAUGUGACAGAGAAACUGAAUCAGCUCAAUCUUCAGUUACAAGGUAAAGACAAAACCAUAUGUGAUAUGAUCAGUGCUGUGAAGGUAUUUAAAGCAAAACUGUCAUUUUACCUUCAGCAAUUGAAAAACAAAAGAUUGCAACACUUCCCGUCAUUGGUAAAGAUAGAAAGAAAGCCAUGCAAAUGCAACCAAAGUUUUGGAUGUACUCGAGUAUUGUGACCUCCUGUCCAGGCUUGGGCAGGAAUCUGAGGAAAGGUUCAGUGAUUUUGAAAAUCUUGAGAUAUGUGUGGCAUUUGUUGCCAAGUCUUUCAUGGAGAUAGACAUGGAUCACAUUUCAAAGCAGAUGGCUGAACAAAAGUUUAACUAUGUGCUCUUCUCAUCAGCAGACCAUAGGCAACAGCUAAAGGGUGUUUCUGUCGUGGUUUCUGUAAUGUAGUGGUUAUCACGUUUGCUUCACACGCAAAAGCUCCCUGGUUCGAGACUGGGCAGAAACAAGCUAGCAAUUUUGAUCUAUGCUUUAAUAACUGACCGGUUGUCAUCACCGUAGGAUCAGGUCCUCUAGGAACAGCCGGAAAGCGAGACCUUGGACAGAGCAGAUUUCCUUCUUUUGUGCCUUUGUAGCAAAGCAGUUAACAUUUGCUUACAAAAUGAAAGGGAGUCUCUGGUUUUCUACAGAAAGUGGAAGCCUGGCUCUUUCGUUGCUCAAUAAGACUCUGAACGUGACUGGAAAAUUUUCCAUAAAG
RNA transcript from Ictalurus punctatus (channel catfish), 1697 nucleotides. It is a transcript of the gene named E3 ubiquitin-protein ligase UBR2-like, with no coding region annotated. The transcript has 4 exons. The record is from RefSeq and is a predicted model, not a curated record. NCBI's taxonomy places the organism in Eukaryota, Metazoa, Chordata, Actinopteri, Siluriformes, Ictaluridae.